RNAcentral lists this ribosomal RNA (492 nucleotides) under uncultured bacterium. RNAcentral describes it as "partial 16S ribosomal RNA". It matches the Rfam family "Bacterial small subunit ribosomal RNA", at positions 29 to 507 of the family's 1533-position model. The record is from RNAcentral.
AGUGAACGCUGGCGGUAGGCCUAACACAUGCAAGUCGAACGGCAGCACAGUAAGAGCUUGCUCUUACGGGUGGCGAGUGGCGGACGGGUGCGGAAUACAUCGGAAUCUACUUUUUCGUGGGUGAUAACGUAGGGAAACUUACGCUAAUACCGCAUACGACCUACGGGUGAAAGCAGGGGAUCUUCGGACCUUGCGCGAUUGAAUGAGCCGAUGUCGGAUUAGCUAGUUGGCGGGGUAAAGGCCCACCAAGGCGACGAUCCGUAGCUGGUCUGAGAGGAUGAUCAGCCACACUGGAACUGAGACACGGUCCAGACUCCUACGGGAGGCAGCAGUGGGGAAUAUUGGACAAUGGGCGAAAGCCUGAUCCAGCCAUACCGCGUGGGUGAAGAAGGUCUUCGGGUUGUAAAGCCCUUUUGUUUGGAAAGAAAAGCAGCAGGUUAAUACCCCGCUGUUCUGACGGUACCCAAAGAAUAAGCACCGGCUAACUUCGUG